This 301-nucleotide ribosomal RNA is filed under the name uncultured bacterium. RNAcentral's name for it is "partial 16S ribosomal RNA". It matches the Rfam family "Bacterial small subunit ribosomal RNA", at positions 509 to 807 of the family's 1533-position model. The record is from RNAcentral.
CAGCCGCCACGGGAAUACGAAGGGUGCAAGCGUUAAUCGGAAUUACUGGGCGUAAAGCGUGCGUAGGCGGCUUCUUAAGUCGGAUGUGAAAUCCCUGAGCUUAACUUAGGAAUUGCAUUCGAUACUGGGAAGCUAGAGUAUGGGAGAGGAUGGUAGAAUUCCAGGUGUAGCGGUGAAAUGCGUAGAGAUCUGGAGGAAUACCGAUGGCGAAGGCAGCCAUCUGGCCUAAUACUGACGCUGAGGUACGAAAGCAUGGGGAGCAAACAGGAUUAGAUACCCCUGUAGUCCCUGUCUCUUAUAC